AUAGGGGUGGGUGUUGAGGGAGUCUGGGCAGUCCGUGGGGAACCCCUUUUCGGUUCGGACUUGGGUAGCGAUCGAGGGAUGGUAUCGGAUAUCGGCACGAGGAAUGACCGACCAGUCCGCCGCGGGAUUUUCGCCUGGAAAACUUUUCCGGCGACUUUCCAGCGAUCGGUUUUGUUGCCUUUUUCCGAGUUUUCUCAGCAGUUCUCGGACAAAAACUGCUGAAUCGUCGAGGAGAAUGGGCUUGCCUUGCGUGGGCUGCCAUUAGUUCUUCGAGGCGUUAGGGUGGCGGCGGUAUAAAAGUGUCGAGUUUUUUCAGCAGUUCUCGGACAAAAAUUGCUGAGUGGCCGAGAAGAAUGGGCGUGUCAUGCGUGGGCUGACAUGGAUUCUUCGAGGCCUAGGGGGUGGCGGUAUAUAACUUGUUCGCAUGAUAUUACCGAGAUGUCCCCACGGGCAUCUUUUCACCUCGUCGCGAAGAGAAUGGGCGUGUCAUGGCAUGGGCUGACAUUAUGAUUCUCCCUAGGCCGCUUUGGGUGGCGGUAUAGUCGUGCUUGCGCCUGACGAAAUACCGAGAUGUCCCCAUGGGCAUCGAUUCCACCCGCCUAGGUUGGAUGGGCGUGCUUCGUUGGAAAGCAUGGAUCCGCCUAGGCUGUCCCGAGUGUGAGCGAGGUGUGAGUGUCGCCCAUGGGCAUCGACACCUUGCGGCUAGGAACUGGAGCGAGACGGGUGGCAAAGAUUUCGAGUAGCACUUCGCCCACUACCGUGGGUUUUUAAACCUUCCGAGUUUUGUUGAUGUUAUUCCGAGAAUUAGCAAACCGUAACGAAGAUGUUCUUAUGCAACCAUCUUUUUGAUGGGAGUCCGGCUGUUCGAUAGCCGGCCAAGGGUGAUGAACGAAAUGUGAACCCUUGUCUCGCCUAGGUUGGAUGGGCGUGCUUCGUUGGAAAGCAUGGAUCCGCCUAGGCUGUCCAGUGUGAGCGAGGUGUGAGUGUCGCCCAUGGGCAUCGACACCUUGCGGCUAGGAACUGGAGCAGACGGGUGGCAAAGAUUUCGAGUAGCACUUCAUACUACCGUGGGUUUUUUAAACCUUCCGAGUUUUGUUGAUGUUAUUCCGAGAAUUAGCAAACCGUAACGAAGAUGUUCUUGGCAACCAUCUUUUGAUGGGAGUCCAUUUUGUUCGAUGCCCGGCCAAGGGGUGAUGAACGAAAUGUGAACCCUUGUCUCGCCCUAGGUUGGAUGGGCGUGCUUCGUUGGAAAGCAUGGAUCCGCCUAGCUGUCCCCGAGUGUGAGCGGGUGUGAGUGUCGCCCAUGGGCAUCGACACCUUGCGGCUAGGAAGCUGGGCAGAGACGGGUGGCAAAGAUUUCGAGUAGCACUUCAUACUACCGUGGGUUUUUUAAACCUUCCGAGAGUUUUGUUGAUGUUAUUCCGAGAAAUUAGCAAACCGUAACGAAGAUGUUCUUGGCAACCAUCUUUUGAUGGGAGUCCGAGCUGUUGCUCGCCGGCCAAGGGUGAUGAACGAAAUGUGAACCCUUGUCUCGCCUAGGUUGGAUGGGCGUGCUUCGUUGGAAAGCAUGGAUCCGCCUAGGCUGUCCCGAAGGUAUCUCGCGCUUGUACGGCUUUGGCUCGGAUUCGUCCGUCUUCUUUCUUCUUGCCGAGUACUUCGGUAGAGUGGAUUGGAACGAUUGAUGAUUUUGAGAUUAAUGAACGUUCGGCGUAUGAGUGGUGAUCGGAUAGCCAGUGUUCGUAGGCUCCAUGCUCGCGCAUCGAACUACCUACCACCUAUCCUUCUCGGUUAAUUCACGGGCGAUGUUACGCUCGAUGAUGAGUUCCGGGGCACUGUGUUUCGUA
Molecule: unclassified non-coding RNA, 1844 nt
Filed under: Arabidopsis thaliana (thale cress)
Lineage: Eukaryota; Viridiplantae; Streptophyta; Magnoliopsida; Brassicales; Brassicaceae
Description: 5' external transcribed spacer
Source: RNAcentral